AGAACGAACGCUGGCGGCAUGCCUAACACAUGCAAGUCGAACGAGACCUUCGGGUCUAGUGGCGCACGGGUGCGUAACGCGUGGGAACCUGCCUUUAGGUUCGGAAUAACUCUCCGAAAGGGGUGCUAAUACCGAAUAAUGUCUUCGGACCAAAGAUUUAUCGCCUUUAGAUGGGCCCGCGUUGGAUUAGCUAGUUGGUGGGGUAAAGGCCUACCAAGGCGACGAUCCAUAGCUGGUCUUAGAGGAUGAUCAGCCACACUGGGACUGAGACACGGCCCAGACUCCUACGGGAGGCAGCAGUGGGGAAUAUUGGACAAUGGGCGAAAGCCUGAUCCAGCAAUGCCGCGUGAGUGAUGAAGGCCUUAGGGUUGUAAAGCUCUUUUACCCGGGAUGAUAAUGACAGUACCGGGAGAAUAAGCUCCGGCUAACUCCGUGCCAGCAGCCGC
Molecule: ribosomal RNA, 446 nt
Filed under: uncultured bacterium
Lineage: Bacteria
Description: SSU rRNA
Rfam family: Bacterial small subunit ribosomal RNA
Source: RNAcentral